This 725-nucleotide long non-coding RNA is filed under the name Papio anubis (olive baboon). RNAcentral describes it as "lncRNA (ENSPANG00000045381.1)". Lineage: Eukaryota; Metazoa; Chordata; Mammalia; Primates; Cercopithecidae. The record is from RNAcentral.
UUUUGUUGUGUGAAUAAACCAUGAUUUCUCUUUUUUUUGAGCAUGUAUAGUUAAGUUGUUUUCAGUAUUUUGGCUAUUAUGAGUAAGGUUACUCUGGGUUUAUAUAUAUUUGGGAGUAGAUAUUGUCAGCCUUCAAUUAUGCAUUUACACAACUGUAGUAAAUAGUGAUACUUUUUUUUUCCUGAUUACUUACUCCAAGUUUUCUUUUUCUCUGCAGACCUAAGCUUCAUGUUCUGCCUGUGUGAUUCUGUCUUCACGAUUCUCAUGGUUCCUCCCAUGACUGACAGCUUAGAAGCCAGAGGUCAAAGGAGCCUAUCAAUCAAUGCACUCCACGCAAAUAUGUCCAGGGAGCAGGAUAGAACAAGGUAUAAAAGGGUGGAACUCUAUCUAGAGGAGCAAAAUGAAGAUAUCUAAUACAUUGACAUUAAUACAAUAUGUACAAUGUCAUUAUAAUGUGUCAAAAUUGCACAGAAAAAUAAUCACAAAAUAAUCAAUGUCAUAGUCAACUAUUGGUGGUGUUUUAUGCCAGGUGCACUUUAGCUGAUUAACUGGAAGAUUUGAGUGAAAGUACUUUUUUUGUUGUUGUUGAGAAAGCGAGAAGUUAAGGAAACAUCUGAAGGGCAAUGGGCAAGUGAUGCCUGCAAGGUACUGGCAGAAGAUAAAUGGUAUGUUAUUUUAAGCCAAUAGAAAGCUUAAUCCUGUGAGGGAAACUCUGGGAAACGUAC